This 468-nucleotide ribosomal RNA is filed under the name uncultured bacterium. RNAcentral's name for it is "partial 16S ribosomal RNA". It matches the Rfam family "Bacterial small subunit ribosomal RNA", at positions 28 to 507 of the family's 1533-position model. The record is from RNAcentral.
GACGAACGCUGGCGGCGUGCUUAACACAUGCAAGUCGAACGGAAAGGCCCUGCUUUUGUGGGGUGCUCGAGUGGCGAACGGGUGAGUAACACGUGAGUAACCUGCCCUUGACUUUGGGAUAACUUCAGGAAACUGGGGCUAAUACCGGAUAGGAGCUCCUGCUGCAUGGUGGGGGUUGGAAAGUUUCGGCGGUUGGGGAUGGACUCGCGGCUUAUCAGCUUGUUGGUGGGGUAGUGGCUUACCAAGGCUUUGACGGGUAGCCGGCCUGAGAGGGUGACCGGCCACAUUGGGACUGAGAUACGGCCCAGACUCCUACGGGAGGCAGCAGUGGGUAAUAUUGCACAAUGGGCGGAAGCCUGAUGCAGCCACGCCGCGUGCGGGAUGACGGCCUUCGGGUUGUAAACCGCUUUCGCCUGUGACGAAGCGUGAGUGACGGUAAUGGGUAAAGAAGCACCGGCUAACUACGUG